UUAAAGCUCUGUAUCACCUUUAAUGUAUCUGAUCCAGUCUGAUCUUGGAUGCUAAAUAGGGUCAAACUUGGUUAGUAACUUGGUUGGGAGAGCACCUGAGAAUAUUGGCUGAUUUAUAGA
This 120-nucleotide ribosomal RNA is filed under the name Phascolarctos cinereus (koala). Lineage: Eukaryota; Metazoa; Chordata; Mammalia; Diprotodontia; Phascolarctidae. The record is from RNAcentral.